Molecule: microRNA precursor, 93 nt
Filed under: Marmota monax (woodchuck)
Lineage: Eukaryota; Metazoa; Chordata; Mammalia; Rodentia; Sciuridae
Source: RNAcentral
AGUGGCAUUGCUAGACCAUAUGGUAAUUCUAUUUUUGAGGAACUGCCAAACUCUUCCACAAUGGCUAUGCCAUUUAGCAUUUCCACCAGCAGU